RNAcentral lists this ribosomal RNA (274 nucleotides) under uncultured bacterium. RNAcentral's name for it is "partial 16S ribosomal RNA". It matches the Rfam family "Bacterial small subunit ribosomal RNA", at positions 523 to 796 of the family's 1533-position model. The record is from RNAcentral.
AUACGGAGGGUGCGAGCGUUAAUCGGAAUUACUGGGCGUAAAGGGCGCGUAGGUGGUUGGGUAAGUCGGAUGUGAAAGCCCCGGGCUCAACUUGGGAAUUGCAUUCGAUACUGCCUCACUAGAGUAUGGUAGAGGGAAGCGGAAUUCCCGGUGUAGCGGUGAAAUGCGUAGAUAUCGGGAGGAACAUCAGUGGCGAAGGCGGCUUCCUGGACCAAUACUGACACUGAGGCGCGAAAGCGUGGGGAGCAAACAGGAUUAGAAACCCCAGUAGUCC